UACGUAGGGGGCAAGCGUUGUCCGGAAUUAUUGGGCGUAAAGAGCGUGUAGGCGGCCAGAUAAGUCCGCUGUGAAAUCUCGAGGCUCAACUUCGAGCUGUCGGUGGAAACUAUCUGGCUAGAGUCCGGAAGAGGCGAGUGGAAUUCCCGGUGUAGCGGUGAAAUGCGCAGAUAUCGGGAGGAACACCAAUGGCGAAGGCAGCUCGCUGGGACGGUACUGACGCUGAGACGCGAAAGCGUGGGGAGCAAACAGG
RNAcentral lists this ribosomal RNA (253 nucleotides) under uncultured bacterium. RNAcentral's name for it is "partial 16S ribosomal RNA". It matches the Rfam family "Bacterial small subunit ribosomal RNA", at positions 524 to 776 of the family's 1533-position model. The record is from RNAcentral.